GAGGCCUACCAUGGUUUUAACGGGUAACGGGGAAUUAGGGUUCGAUUCCGGAGAGGGAGCCUGAGAAACGGCUACCACAUCCAAGGAAGGCAGCAGGCGCGCAAAUUACCCAAUCCCGACACGGGGAGGUAGUGACAAUAAAUAACAAUAUGGGGCUCUUACGAGUCUCGUAAUUGGAAUGAGUACAAUUUAAAUCUCUUAACGAGGAACAAUUGGAGGGCAAGUCUGGUGCCAGCAGCCGCGGUAAUUCCAGCUCCAAUAGCGUAUAUUAAAGUUGUUGCAGUUAAAAAGCUCGUAGUUGAAUUUCGGGGUCUAUCCGUUGGUCGGGCUUUUGGGUCCGUACUGGCGUUAUGGAUUCCUACCUUCUGAAUAACCAGCAUGCCAUUAAUUUGGUGCGCCGGGGAAGCAGGACUGUUACCUUGAAAAAAUUAGAGUGCUUAAAGCAGGCUAUGGCCUGAAUACAUUAGCAUGGAAUAAUGAAAUAGGACGGCUUGGUUCUAUUUUGUUGGUUUCUAGGAUCACCGUAAUGAUUAAUAGGGAUAGUUGGGGGCAUUAGUAUUCAAUUGUCAGAGGUGAAAUUCUUGGAUUUAUUGAAGACUAACUUCUGCGAAAGCAUUUGCCAAGGAUGUUUUCAUUAAUCAAGAACGAAAGUUAGGGGAUCGAAGACGAUCAGAUACCGUCGUAGUCUUAACCAUAAACUAUGCCGACUAGGGAUCGGACGAUGUUAAUUUUUUAAUGACUCGUCGGCGC
Molecule: ribosomal RNA, 750 nt
Filed under: uncultured Acaulospora
Lineage: Eukaryota; Fungi; Glomeromycota; Glomeromycetes; Diversisporales; Acaulosporaceae
Description: SSU rRNA
Rfam family: Eukaryotic small subunit ribosomal RNA
Source: RNAcentral